RNAcentral lists this ribosomal RNA (494 nucleotides) under uncultured bacterium. Its description in RNAcentral is "bacterial SSU rRNA". It matches the Rfam family "Bacterial small subunit ribosomal RNA", at positions 46 to 526 of the family's 1533-position model. The record is from RNAcentral.
GCUUAACACAUGCAAGUCGAGCGAGAACCGGACCUUCGGGUCCGGGGACAGCGGCGAACGGGUGAGUAACACGUGGGUAAUUUGCCCUCGAUUUCGGGAUAGCCCGGGGAAACCCGGAUUAAUACCGGAUAGCCUUUCGAGCUCUCGGGCUUGAAAGGAAAGGUAGCUUCGGCCUCCGAUAGAGGAGAAGCCCGCGGCGGAUUAGCUUGUUGGCGGGGUAAUGGCCCACCAAGGCGACGAUCCGUAGCUGGUCUGAGAGGACGAUCAGCCACACUGGGACUGAGACACGGCCCAGACUCCUACGGGAGGCAGCAGUGGGGAAUCUUGCGCAAUGCGCGAAAGCGUGACGCAGCAACGCCGCGUGGGGGAAGAAGGCCUUCGGGUUGUAAACCCCUUUCAGGAGGGACGAAGGUCGGGCGGUGAAUAGCCGACCCGACUGACGGUACCUCCAGAAGAAGCCCCGGCUAACUACGUGCCAGCAGCCGCGGUAAUNC